GGACUACCGGGGUAUCUAAUCCUGUUCGCUCCCCACGCUUUCGCGUCUCAGCGUCAGUCACGUACCAGAGAGCCGCCUUCGCCACGGGUGUUCUUCCUGAUAUCUGCGCAUUUCACCGCUACACCAGGAAUUCCACUCUCCUCUUCCGGACUCUAGCUAGAUGGUUUCCACCGGCGUCUCGAGGUUGAGCCUCGAGUUUUCACAACGGACCUACCUAGCCGCCUACACGCUCUUUACGCCCAAUAAAUCCGGACAACGCUUGCCCCCUACGUAUUACCGCGGCUGCUGGCAC
Molecule: ribosomal RNA, 292 nt
Filed under: uncultured bacterium
Lineage: Bacteria
Description: partial 16S ribosomal RNA
Source: RNAcentral